RNAcentral lists this ribosomal RNA (461 nucleotides) under uncultured bacterium. RNAcentral's name for it is "partial 16S ribosomal RNA". It matches the Rfam family "Bacterial small subunit ribosomal RNA", at positions 338 to 795 of the family's 1533-position model. The record is from RNAcentral.
CCUACGGGUGGCUGCAGUGAGGAAUAUUGGUCAAUGGGCGCGAGCCUGAACCAGCCAAGUCGCGUGAGGGAGGACGGCCCUACGGGUUGUAAACCUCUUUUGCCGGGGAGCAACGGGCGUCACGUGUGGCGCCACUGAGAGUACCCGGAGAAAAAGCAUCGGCUAACUCCGUACCAGCAGCCGCGGUAAUACGGAGGAUGCGAGCGUUAUCCGGAUUUAUUGGGUUUAAAGGGAGCGUAGGCGGGUUGUUAAGUCAGUUGUGAAAGUUUGCGGCUCAACCGUAAAAUUGCAGUUGAUACUGGCAUCCUUGAGUACAGUAGAGGUAGGCGGAAUUCGUGGUGUAGCGGUGAAAUGCUUAGAUAUCACGAAGAACUCCGAUUGCGAAGGCAGCCUGCUGGACUGUAACUGACGCUGAUGCUCGAAAGUGUGGGUAUCAAACAGGAUUAGAUACCCGAGUAGUC